AACGCGAAGAACCUUACCUACUCUUGACAUCUUCGGAAUCUUCUAGAAAUAGAUGAGUGCCUUCGGGAACCGAGAGACAGGUGCUGCAUGGCUGUCGUCAGCUCGUGUCGUGAGAUGUUGGGUUAAGUCCCGUAACGAGCGCAACCCUCGUCCUUAGUUGCCAGCACGUAAUGGUGGGAACUCUAAGGAGACCGCCGGUGAUAAACCGGAGGAAGGUGGGGAUGAUGUCAAGUCAUCAUGGCCCUUACGAGUAGGGCUACACGCGUGCUACAAUGGACAGUACAAAGGGUUGCAAAGCCGCGAGGUGAAGCUAAUCCCAAAAAGCUGUUCGUAGUCCGGAUUGGAGUCUGCAACUCGACUCCAUGAAGUUGGAAUCGCUAGUAAUCGCGAAUCAGAACGUCGCGGUGAAUACGUUCUCGGGCCUUGUACACACCGCUCGUC
Molecule: ribosomal RNA, 441 nt
Filed under: uncultured bacterium
Lineage: Bacteria
Description: bacterial SSU rRNA
Rfam family: Bacterial small subunit ribosomal RNA
Source: RNAcentral